CCCUUAGAUGUUCUGGGCCGCACACGCGCUACACUGAAGGAGGCAGCGUGUACUCCUGGAUCGAAAGAUUUGGGUAACCCGCGAAUCUCCUUCGUGCUAGGGAUUGAGGUCUGCAAUUAUCCUUCAUGAACGAGGAAUUCCCAGUAAGUGCAAGUCAUAAGCUUGCGCUGACUACGUCCCUGCCCUUUGUACACACCGCCCGUCGCUACUACCGAUUGAAUGAUUUAGUGAGGACUUCGGACUGGGACCGAUGCGGCUUUCGGGCUGCGUCGGUAUUCUGGAAAGAUGUCCAAACUGUAUCAUUUAGAGGAAGUAAAAGUCGUAACA
This 327-nucleotide ribosomal RNA is filed under the name uncultured eukaryote. RNAcentral describes it as "partial 18S ribosomal RNA". It matches the Rfam family "Eukaryotic small subunit ribosomal RNA", at positions 1470 to 1796 of the family's 1831-position model. The record is from RNAcentral.